Molecule: long non-coding RNA, 662 nt
Organism: Mytilus californianus (California mussel)
Lineage: Eukaryota; Metazoa; Mollusca; Bivalvia; Mytilida; Mytilidae
Exons: 4
Source: RefSeq, a predicted model, not a curated record
UAAUAACUAUUACUUUUACAUUUUGAGCUCGGAAAACAGAUAGCUACUUUUUAGGUACAAACGACAAUGAAAACGGAGAUAAAAUUAUGUGUAUGCGUUGUCCUCGCGGCAGUAUGCAUUGCCGGCGUAAGAUCAGCUGGUAAUUAUGGCAGAGGAAGUUAUGGAAGAGGUGUUUAUGGACGAACUGCAUCAUACGGCGGCGGUGGAUCCAGCAGAGGAUACGGCGGCGGCAGUGGAUACGGCAGAAGUGGAUACGGCGGAACUGGAUACAGCAGUUACGGAAAAGGUACUGCUGGACGUGGGAGUGGUACAUUGUAUUACCCUUAUUACUACCCUGUUCCCUACUAUGUACGUGGUGGCAGAAGACGAGGAGGAAAUGUAAGAGUUACUCCAGCCAUAAUUGCAAGAACAGGAGGACGACGUAGAGGAGGAGCCGGAAGAGGUUUUCUUGGAGGAAGUGGAUUCGGAGGCAUUUUUAGUUUGAUCAUCACGCUUUUCUUUCUUCAGUUUAUUCUAGGACUCAUAGGAUAGACAGCAUAAUCCAGCCGGAAAUAAAUCUAAGGGAAGUAAUCAUGGUAAUGAUAUAUCAGCACACAAAGCAGUCGUUGGGUACACACCAUAUAAUACUGAUACAAUUUUGUAAAUAAAAAAGCAGACCAGAA